UACGGGGGGUGCGAGCGUUGUCCGGAAUCACUGGGCGUAAAGGGCGCGUAGGUGGUUUGAUAAGGGUGUGGUGAAAGUCCGGGGCUCAACCCCGGAUCUGCCGUGCCGACUGUCAAACUCGAGGGCUGUAGAGGCAGACGGAAUUCCGGGUGUAGCGGUGGAAUGCGUAGAGAUCCGGAGGAAGACCGGUGGCGAAGGCGGUCUGCUGGGCAGUUUCUGACACUGAUGCGCGAAAGCGUGGGGAGCGAUCCGG
RNAcentral lists this ribosomal RNA (253 nucleotides) under uncultured bacterium. Its description in RNAcentral is "partial 16S ribosomal RNA". It matches the Rfam family "Bacterial small subunit ribosomal RNA", at positions 524 to 776 of the family's 1533-position model. The record is from RNAcentral.